AUUGAACGCUGGCGGCAUGCCUUACACAUGCAAGUCGAACGGCAGCACGGGAGCAAUCCUGGUGGCGAGUGGCGAACGGGUGAGUAAAGUAUCGGAACGUGCCCAGUCGUGGGGGAUAACGUAGCGAAAGUUACGCUAAUACCGCAUACGAUCUAUGGAUGAAAGCGGGGGAUCGCAAGACCUCGCGCGAUUGGAGCGGCUGAUAUCAGAUUAGGUAGUUGGUGGGGGAAAGGCUCACCAAGCCGACGAUCUGUAGCUGGUCUGAGAGGACGACCAGCCACAAUGGGACUGAGACACGGCCCAGACUCCUACGGGAGGCAGCAGUGGGGAAUUUUGGACAAUGGGCGAAAGCCUGAUCCAGCCAUGCCGCGUGCAGGAUGAAGGCCUUCGGGUUGUAAACUGCUUUUGUACGGAACGAAAAGGUUUGGGCUAAUAAGCUGAGCUCAUGACGGUACCGUAAGAAUAAGCACCGGCUAACUACGUGCCAGCAGCCGCAGUAA
This 500-nucleotide ribosomal RNA is filed under the name uncultured bacterium. Its description in RNAcentral is "partial 16S ribosomal RNA". It matches the Rfam family "Bacterial small subunit ribosomal RNA", at positions 30 to 523 of the family's 1533-position model. The record is from RNAcentral.